RNAcentral lists this long non-coding RNA (479 nucleotides) under Hordeum vulgare. RNAcentral's name for it is "long non-coding RNA (HVUL_LNC005085)". Lineage: Eukaryota; Viridiplantae; Streptophyta; Magnoliopsida; Poales; Poaceae. The record is from RNAcentral.
UUUAGUGCACAUUCGGAGAAAGUUAUUACUUAGGUGAUUCUUGAUCACAGCUAAGUCUCCGAGUGUGACGUUUUGUGCAUACUCGGAGAAAUUUAUUACUUAGGUGAUUCUUGAUCACAGCUAAGUCUCCGAGUGCAACGUUUGGUGCACACUCGGAGAAAGGUAUUACUUAGGUGAUUCUUGAUCACAGCUAAGUCCCCGAGUGCGUCGUUUAGUGCACACUCGGAGAAAGUUAUUACUUAGGUGAUUCUUGAUCAGACCUAAGUCCCCGAGUGCGACGUUUAGUGCACACUCGGAGAAAUGUAUUACUUAGGUGAUUCUUGAUCACAGCUAAGUCCCCGAGUGCGACGUUUAGUGCAUACUCGGAGAAAUUUAUUACUUAGGUGAUUCUUGAUCACAGCUAAGUCUCCGAGUGCGACGUUUGGUGCACACUCGGAGAAAGGUAUUACUUAGGUGAUUCUUGAUCACAGCUAAGUCCC